CUGCAACCUUGUGCUUCUGCAACCUCAACUUGGUUCUUCUGCAACCUCUAAUCUUGUAAUUCAUUCUUAUUUUAAAAGCCUUCUGCAAAUCCAUGGUCACCGAUCUGACGAAGCUGAUGUGAACGCCGAGGCCACGAUGCUUACCAGAACAUUCAAGACACAUGAAGAUGCCAUAUGAUACCAAAGCCCACUAUGGUUUCUUCUGAGAGGCAGCCAUCGAUGUCCGAUCCUGGGGAGCGGUUCUCUCUGAACCGACCAUGACUUUGGGGUUGGAUUACAGAUUCACUCAUUCUCUGUGUUCUGGUGACCUCGCACGAGCUCUCCUCUCUGCCUCACCUCUUUCUCUGUUACCGCUCAUUCUUCCUCCUUCCAAUUUCAACUUCCAUCUUCCAUCUUCAAAAUUGCUUCUGCUUCCAAGGGUUUCCCUUCUCUCAUUCUCUUCCUCUGCAAAAAGAGAUUCUUCUUCCAGGGGUUUCCCUUCUCUUUGAAUUAUAGUAGUCUAAAUUGGAAGGGAGAAACAUAAGAGCUUCGACUGGUUCGAUUAGCAAGGAAGAAGAGAAAGAAAGAAAAAGAGAGAGAGAGAGAUGUAAUCUGAAAGUUGAAUCUCUCUCAAAAGAGAUUUAUUUUCAAAGCUAUCUAAAGACCAUUCCCAAAAUCAAUAAAAAGUUGAUAAAAUCACUAGACAAUGCAGAAAGUAUCUGUUGUGGAUGUUGACCUGGUGCCUCCUCCUCCAUGGAAAGCAAGACCCUUGAUCUUGGACUACAACAAUCUCCUUUAAAAGCUAAGUAAUGAUUCAGUUUGUUUUAUUCCUAGACUAACAAAUAGAAGUUCUCAUGAAUUCCCAAAGUAUGGUGAGGAAAGUUAUUAUCAUGCCUGUUUGAGGACUCUGUUUUUCUGUUUUUUUUAUCUGUUCAAAUCUAAUUAUGAUUACUUUUCAGAAGAAAAAAAAAAAAGUGACAAGCAGUACUGGAAUCUAUAAUAAAUUACAUCUCACAUUUAGCUGAGUAUGGCAUUCUUUGUUAUCUUAAAUCAAGAAGAAAAUGAAAAACUACAUCUGGAGAGAAUCACCAUAUGAUUUUUGUCUGCAUUCCUGAAAAAUGUGCUGACUUAUGCUACUGCGUACCUAAUCAGUGUGAAUCGGCGAUGUUCUGUCUCAAAACUGGGAUAUGCAAGCGCGGCAUUCCCUAUUUCCAGAUAGAGAGGCUUUUUCAAAACCAUCCCCAACAUUCCUUUCUUUUCCACGGACUUCAUGGCUCAUUUACUAUCUAUUUCCAUUCCCGGCUUUAAGACAAAGACGAUCCAACAGAAUGCCUUAAGCCCAUGUUGAAUAAUUCUAAUAAAGUCUAAAAUCAUACCAGAACAACUAGUAGGAAUUUUGACUGAACAGGAUCAUAUACAAAACAAUGGAAAUAUCAGAUAGCAGGUUAGGAAUAUUAGAACAGCACACAAUUCUGCAGAAUUUCUAAGAAACAGAAUCAGUUUCUGCCCUACACAAGCUAGCACAGUAGAGUCACAGAAUAAAGAAAGGAACCAGACUAUAGAGAACUCUGAUAAGUUAAAACAGAACAGUUAGAACAAACCUAAACUCUAGUCGAUGGAUUUAUUCCAGUAGCAGAUUCAGCCUGCAGAAAUUGGGCCAAGACUUGAGAGAAAUAUAGACAUAUCUUUACUACCUUAAAAAUUUGCCAUCUGGUAAAUUAAUUAUUUGAUCAUAUGAAUUUUUUGCUGCAAAAUUUUGGGUGGUUAGAACUGGCACAUCAUUUUUUUUUCUGAAUGGUUGGUGGAACAGGAGAAAAUCAUCUAAGAUGGUAUACGAUAUGAUUGAAAUCAGCUACUAAGACAAGUAUGCGAUCCAAAUUAAGUGUAUAUUGUAUACAUUUUGGAAGUGCUAUCAAUCAUGAACAUCGGAAAUGGAGGAAUUUCAAGCUUGGCCACCACCCUAUAAGAUAUGAAUCCAUCUGCAGAUGCCAAAAGUAGCUCAUAUCACUACAAUGUGGCCUGCAAUUCAGUACACAACAUAGCACAUUGAGUUUGGCCUAAUCCAAUAAGCUGAAUGUUUAAUCAUCAUCUUAAAAGCAAAAAAACCAAAAAUGCAUGAAAAGUGAAAACAAUUUACAUUCUGAAGAAAAUUUGUACCCAGAGGCUGUGCUUAACCUUGUAAUUUUCUUUUCCUUCAGUUGAAAGAACAUGGCAUUACAUCGCAACCCAUGUGCGUAGGGAUGAAGAGAAAAAUUGUACUUGUGGAAUGUGUUUGAUCUUGAAAUUCUGUUUGCCUCCAUCACGUUUCAACCUCCGUUCAAGAUCUGGGUGCAAGGGAAGCAUCUCCAGUACUUUUAGUGUGCUGACAUAUUGCAAUCCUUCUGGAAGAAUCAUCAACCGUGGACAAUCGUGGAAGCGGAGGAAUUCUAAGCUUGGCAAUGCCCCUUCUUCAAUCUCUGUCCAUUCUAGUAGAUUCCUAGAAGCAAUAAGAAGUAUCUGUAGCUUGGGAAACCCACCCACCUUGCUAAAGUCUUUUUUUAUUACUUUGACCUCGCAAGCUCUCCACAAUGUCAGAUGUUUCAAGUUGGGAAGAAAUUGAAGUACAGAAAGUUCUUCCUCA
Molecule: long non-coding RNA, 2599 nt
Organism: Macadamia integrifolia
Lineage: Eukaryota; Viridiplantae; Streptophyta; Magnoliopsida; Proteales; Proteaceae
Exons: 2
Source: RefSeq, a predicted model, not a curated record